Molecule: ribosomal RNA, 528 nt
Filed under: Macrobrachium niphanae
Lineage: Eukaryota; Metazoa; Arthropoda; Malacostraca; Decapoda; Palaemonidae
Description: partial large subunit ribosomal RNA
Rfam family: Bacterial large subunit ribosomal RNA
Source: RNAcentral
AAAAACAUGUCUGUGUGAAUUAGUUAUAAAGUCUAGCCUGCCCACUGAUUAUUUAAAGGGCCGCGGUAAUUUGACCGUGCGAAGGUAGCAUAGUCAGUAGUCUUUUAAUUGAAGGCUUGAAUGAAAGGUUGGACGAGGGGUAAGCUGUCUCUUUUACAAUAUUUGAAUUUAACUUUUAAGUGAAAAGGCUUAAAUUAUUUAGUGGGACGAUAAGACCCUAUAAAACUUAAUAUAGGUUUGACUUAAUUUUAUAAAAUGGGUGAAAAGUGAUUUUGUUUAGUUUAUAUUUUGUUGGGGCGAUAUAGAUAUAAUAUGUAACUGUUUAUUAAAUUUAAUAAUUAUAAUUAGUUUUUGAUCCUUCUUUGUGGAUUGAAAGAAUAAGUUACUUUAGGGAUAACAGCGUGAUUUUCUUUGAGAGUUCUUAUCGACAAGAGUAGUUGCGACCUCGAUGUUGAAUUAAAAUUUCAGUUAGGUGUAGCCGUUUAGCUGGUGGGUCUGUUCGACCUUUAAAAUUUUACAUGAUCUGAG